CCCUGGUAGUCCACGCCGUAAACGUUGGGAACUAGAUGUGGGGACCAUUCCACGGUCUCCGUGUCGCAGCUAACGCAUUAAGUUCCCCGCCUGGGGAGUACGGCCGCAAGGCUAAAACUCAAAGGAAUUGACGGGGGCCCGCACAAGCGGCGGAGCAUGCGGAUUAAUUCGAUGCAACGCGAAGAACCUUACCAAGGCUUGACAUAUACGAGAACGGGCUAGAAAUAGUCAACUCUUUGGACACUCGUAAACAGGUGGUGCAUGGUUGUCGUCAGCUCGUGUCGUGAGAUGUUGGGUUAAGUCCCGCAACGAGCGCAACCCUCGUUCUAUGUUGCCAGCACGUAAUGGUGGGAACUCAUAGGAGACUGCCGGGGUCAACUCGGAGGAAGGUGGGGAUGACGUCAAAUCAUCAUGCCCCUUAUGUCUUGGGCUUCACGCAUGCUACAAUGGCCGGUACAAAGGGCUGCAAUACCGUAAGGUGGAGCGAAUCCCAAAAAGCCGGUCUCAGUUCGGAUUGAGGUCUGCAACUCGACCUCAUGAAGUCGGAGUCGCUAGUAAUCGUGGAUCAGCAACGCCACGGUGAAUACGUUCCCGGGCCUUGUACACACCGCCCGUCAAGUCAUGAAAGUCGGUAACACCCGAAGCCGGUGGCCCAACCCUUGUGGAGGGAGCCGUCGAAGGUGGGAUCGGUGAUUAGGACUAAGU
This 705-nucleotide ribosomal RNA is filed under the name Herbiconiux ginsengi. RNAcentral's name for it is "bacterial SSU rRNA". It matches the Rfam family "Bacterial small subunit ribosomal RNA", at positions 785 to 1486 of the family's 1533-position model. Lineage: Bacteria; Bacillati; Actinomycetota; Actinomycetes; Micrococcales; Microbacteriaceae. The record is from RNAcentral.